GAGGUGGUGUUUGUGCUUGAAGGCCAACUAGAUGUUGGGUUCAUAACCACAGCCAAUGUGCUCAUAUCAAAGACUAUUAGCAAGGGUGAGAUAUUUGUGUUCCCAAAAGGCUUAGUUCACUUCCAAAAGAACAAUGCCAAUGUACCUGCUUCUGUUCUUUCUGCAUUCAACAGCCAACUUCCUGGUACACAGUCCAUUGCUACUACCUUGUUUGCAGCCACACCUUCUGUUCCAGACAAUGUGUUGACCAAGACAUUCCAGGUGGGUACCAAAGAGGUUGAGAAAAUCAAGUCUAGGCUUGCACCCA
RNAcentral lists this long non-coding RNA (307 nucleotides) under Medicago truncatula (barrel medic). RNAcentral describes it as "long non-coding RNA (MTRU_LNC006394)". Lineage: Eukaryota; Viridiplantae; Streptophyta; Magnoliopsida; Fabales; Fabaceae. The record is from RNAcentral.